AAGAGAGAAGCAUAGGUGGUUAAUGCGGUUGGCUUGAAACCAGUAUAUGAGGGUUCGAUUCCUUCCUCUCUUG
Molecule: transfer RNA, 73 nt
Filed under: Histrionicus histrionicus (harlequin duck)
Lineage: Eukaryota; Metazoa; Chordata; Aves; Anseriformes; Anatidae
Description: tRNA-Ser
Rfam family: tRNA
About the family: Transfer RNA (tRNA) molecules are approximately 80 nucleotides in length.
Source: RNAcentral